This 604-nucleotide ribosomal RNA is filed under the name uncultured archaeon. RNAcentral's name for it is "bacterial SSU rRNA". It matches the Rfam family "Bacterial small subunit ribosomal RNA", at positions 377 to 1002 of the family's 1533-position model. The record is from RNAcentral.
GAGAAUCUGAUGCUUAAUGCCGCGUGAGUGAAGAAGGCCUUUGGGUUGUAAAGCUCUUUUGUAGGGGAAGAUAAUGACUGUACCCUAAGAAUAAGGUCCGGCUAACUUCGUGCCAGCAGCCGCGGUAAUACGAAGGGACCUAGCGUAGUUCGGAAUUACUGGGCGUAAAGCGCGCGUAGGCCGUUGAGUUAGUUAAUUGUGAAAUCCCAAAGCUUAACUUUGGAACUGCAAUUAAAACUGCUCGACUAGAGUUUGAUAGAGGAAAGCGGAAUACAUAGUGUAGAGGUGAAAUUCGUAGAUAUUAUGUAGAACACCAGUUGCGAAGGCGGCUUUCUGGGUCAACACUGACGCUGAGGCGCGAAAGUAUGGGUAGCAAAGAGGAUUAGAUACCCUCGUAGUCCAUACCAUAAACGAUGAUUGCUAGAUGUCGGAAAUUUCAUCCUCAGUAUCGCAACUAACGCAUUAAGCAAUCCGCCUGGGGAGUACGACCGCAGGUUUAAAUCAAAUGAAUUGACGGGGACCCGUACAAGCGGUGCGAGCAUGUGGUUUACUUCGAAGAUACCGCGCGAAGCUUGACAAGCCUUGACAUGUCUGUCGCGAGUUU